CCUACGGGGGGCUGCAGUAGGGAAUCUUCCACAAUGGACGAAAGUCUGAUGGAGCAACGCCGCGUGUGUGAUGAAGGGUUUCGGCUCGUAAAACACUGUUGUAAGAGAAGAAUGACAUUGAGAGUAACUGUUCAGUGUGUGACGGUAUCUUACCAGAAAGGAACGGCUAAAUACGUGCCAGCAGCCGCGGUAAUACGUAUGUUCCAAGCGUUAUCCGGAUUUAUUGGGCGUAAAGCGAGCGCAGACGGUUAAUUAAGGCCGAGGUGAAAGCCCACAGCGUAGAUGUGGAAGUGCGUUGGACACUGGAGAACUUGAGUGCAGUAGAGGAGAGUGGAACUCCAUGUGUGGCGGUUAAAGGCGUAGAUAUAUGGAAGAACACCAGUGGCGAAGGCGGCUCUCUGGACUGUAACUGACGUUGAGGCUCGAAAGUGUGGGUAGCAAACAGGAUUAGAUACCCUUGUAGUC
This 465-nucleotide ribosomal RNA is filed under the name uncultured Weissella sp. RNAcentral's name for it is "bacterial SSU rRNA". It matches the Rfam family "Bacterial small subunit ribosomal RNA", at positions 338 to 795 of the family's 1533-position model. The record is from RNAcentral. Lineage: Bacteria; Bacillati; Bacillota; Bacilli; Lactobacillales; Lactobacillaceae.